Molecule: long non-coding RNA, 1737 nt
Filed under: Oryza sativa Indica Group (long-grained rice)
Lineage: Eukaryota; Viridiplantae; Streptophyta; Magnoliopsida; Poales; Poaceae
Description: lncRNA OsMH63_12G006620
Source: RNAcentral
CUAGUGUUUGCAGGGAAGUCAGUCGCAACCCCAGCGAUCUCCUUCUUUGUCAACAAGGCAUUCAGCUACCUGAACAAGUACCACAAGUCUGAAGGAUUGGGAGACAUGAAGAAAAGGCUGAAGAUGAACAUACCCAAGAUCCAAUCAGUGAUCGAUGUAGUUGAUCCUGAUUACAUCAAGGAGAGGAGUGAAGACCUUGAUACAUGGCUGUGGCAGCUCAGGGAUGCAGUUGAGAAGGCUGAGGAUGCUAUCGAUGAGCUUGAGUACUACGAGCUCAAAGAGAAGCAAAAGGAUCUAAAGUCUGUUAAGCAUGUUAAAAUGUUGGGUAAGACAUCUGAUUCCCCUCUCAAGAGGUUAAAGAAAGCCAUGGAAGAUUUAGAUGAGGCUGCUAAAGGUGUUGAGAAUUUUCUUACAGUAGUAGAUCAAAUCACGAGACCCAAUUUAAACAAUCCACAACGGCAUCAUUCGAUCAGUAGUUACCGUGAGACAGGAAGGAUGUUAACUGCUGAUAGGGUGUUUGGCAGAGAAAAUGAGAAGGAACGGAUUGUUGGAUGGUUGACUAUUGGCCAUGGCGGCAUAGGGAAAACCACUUUGGCUCAGCUUAUCACCAAAGACAACAGGAUCAAGGAACAUUUUAAAACCGUGAUUUGGGUUUCUGUCUCUACAAAUUUUCAUGCAGAAACAUUGAUAAGUAAAAUAAUACAAUCUGUUACAUUAUCAAAACCUAGUUUCGAUACCUACGAUGCACUACAAGAACAUUUGGCAAGGACACUUGAGACCAUUAAAUAUCUUCUCAUUCUAGAUGAUGUCUGGGAAGAUAAGGAAAUCUCUGAGUGGGAAAAACUAUUUGCCUCUUUGAGAACAGGAGUGUAUGGGAGGAAGAUUUUGUUGACAACCCGAAUGCAAUCAGUGGCAGAUUUAGCAUCAGCUGUAAUGAGAUGUGAAAGGGAGCGCCUUCCAUUAUGUGGACUUGAAGAAACUGAAAAUUUAGAACUUUUUAACCAUCAUGUCUUCACCUAUCCAGAUCCCCAAAAAUUUGAAGAAUUACAAGAAGCUGGAGAAAAAAUUGCAAAGAAACUAAGAGGGUGUCCCUUGGUAACAAAGGUUAUUGCUGGGCAUCUACGGGAGGACAUGACAGUUCAAUUCUGGAAUAAAUUCUUGGAUGAGCAGCUGGGUUAUUUUGAUGGAGGUAUGGAAGAUAUCAUGAAAGUUCUGAAAAUGUGGAUAGCUUCAGGAUUGAUCUCCCAGACAACAGGUGAAGCUGAAAAUGCACGGGAUGUUGCAGAAGAGUGCUUAGCUCAACUAACUAGAAAGUCAUUCUUUAAUCUCAAAUUAAGAAACUUUCACUUUGAAAGGAAUGAAUGCCAUGAAUACUAUGUGAUGCAUGACUUAAUGCAUGAUUUGGCAACAUGGGUUUCUUCAGGUGAAUGUGCAAGAAUCUUUGACGCUAAUGGCUCCAAGAAAGUAAAAAGAACAGUACGUCACCUAUCUGUUGUUGGUAUUAAUAGUUUUCCAGCUGACAUCAUUAAAAGUUUCUCCCGGUUCAAAAAUCUCCGCACCAUUGUCUUUGAAGAUUGCCAUGAUAUCCAGGACAAUACUGUAUGUUCAGUGGAAGAAGUUGUAGAGACCUUAAAAGCCCUGCGUGUCGUGAAAUCUCACUUAUUCAGUAGAUGUCACUUCCCUGGCAAAUUUGCUAAUCUAAAGCACCUUCGUUAUGUGAGUGUCUCGUUCAAUUAG